This is a long non-coding RNA of Oncorhynchus keta (chum salmon), 1208 nucleotides long. RefSeq lists it as uncharacterized. Lineage: Eukaryota; Metazoa; Chordata; Actinopteri; Salmoniformes; Salmonidae. The transcript has 3 exons. The record is from RefSeq and is a predicted model, not a curated record.
UAUUAAUAAAAUAAACAAAUGAUUGUUGUUAUGAUUAGGCUAUUGUUUUCUUACACCUCCGCAUCAUCGUCAUCUCUGAAUAACAACAUGGUUGAUAGCCUAUCUUUUACAUGUCAUAUGCGCUCUCAGUAGGCUACAGAGAGCCAGAGCACCAUGCAGUGCUUCGGGAAGUAUCAGGUUCCGUAUUUUGCGAGUCUCCGGUCUCCAAUGGAAGCUACAGAAUAACAAAGACAUGUUUGAGAGUCGAGCAGUGAGCAGCAGCGGCUACAGCAGUAGGCUUGGCUGAUCGGUGACGUCAAGGAACAAUGUGGUUUCCACUAGUUACCACAUCCACAAAGUCAAAUUAGCUAGGCCGGCCUAGAUCGUAAAAAUUCAUCAAAACUAAAAUUAUAUUUUUGGUCUUCAUUUCAGGUUAUGGUUAGCAGCUGGUUAAGGUUAUGGUUAGGUUUAAAAUCACAUUCUAAGCAGAUAAAACAUAGAAAUGGGCGGGGUUUAUUACUUUGUGGCUGUGGUAACUAGUGACGACCGAACAACGUCUCCCCCGACACACACACGCGCACACACGAAUGAAAGCACAUAUGCGCGCGAACACACACACAGAGAGAGAGAGAGAGAGAGAGAGAGAGAGAGAGAGAGCAGGCAGACUCUUCUCAGCUAGUGAAGCACAGCUGAACUGCCCGGAGGGAGGGCCGAGCAGUGCCGAAGCUGGAACAGUGCAUCAGAUAGAAUCACUCACUUCUCAUGCUGUGCUUGUUUCUCUUCCUCCCACCUUCCCUCCCUCCCUUUCUCCCUGCAUGUCUCUGCCCCUCUUUUCUUCUCUCUCUUUCUCCACAAGUCAUGCAGUGUUGCAGCAUUGGACUUCCAGCAGGAAUCUGGUCCAUGUGAUCUGGGAACAUUGGGACAUCCCUACACCAUUGAAGCUGACAUUUUAAAUUGUUACGGUCACCAGGCUGCUCGUUAUGGCGCACACCUGUCACCAUCAUUACGCACACCUGCGCAUCAUCAGACACUCACCUGGACUCCAUCAACUUCCUGAUUACCUGUCCUAUAUAUGUCACUCCCUUUGGUUCCUUCCCCAGAUGUUAUUGUUUCUGUUCCAGUGUCAUGUCUGUGGGUUGUUCGUGUUUCUUGUUUUGUAUUAUGUUGAGUUUAUUUAUUAAAACACUCACUCCCUGAACUUGCUUCCCAAAUUAUUGCUUCCCAAAUUA